AUUCCGGUUGAUCCUGCCGGAGGACAUUGCUAUUGGGAUUCGAUUUAGCCAUGCUAGUCGAGCGAGUUCAGACUCGCGGCGAAUAGCUCAGUAACACGUGGCCAAGCUCCCCUUCAGUCAGCGAUACCCUCGGGAAACUGAGGUUAACAGCUGAUACAAAACGCCAGCUGGAAUGCGGCGUUUCAGAAAGACAUCGCUGAGGGAUGCGGCUGCGGCCGAUUAGGUAGACGGUGGGGUAACGGCCCACCGUGCCAGUAAUCGGUACGGGUGAUGAGAGUCAGAGCCCGGAGACGGAAUCUGAGACAAGAUUCCGGGCCCUACGGGGCGCAGCAGGCGCGAAACCUUUACACUGCACGGAAGUGCGAUAGGGGAAUCCCAAGUGCGAGGGCAUAUUAGCCCUCGCUUUUCUCGACUGUAAGGUGGUCGACGAAUAAGAGCUGGGCAAGACCGGUGCCAGCCGCCGCGGUAAUACCGGCAGCUCAAGUGAUGUCCCAUAUUAUUGGGCCUAAACCGUCUGUAGCU
RNAcentral lists this ribosomal RNA (522 nucleotides) under uncultured haloarchaeon. RNAcentral's name for it is "bacterial SSU rRNA". It matches the Rfam family "Archaeal small subunit ribosomal RNA", at positions 1 to 526 of the family's 1478-position model. The record is from RNAcentral. Lineage: Archaea; Methanobacteriati; Methanobacteriota; Halobacteria; Halobacteriales; Halobacteriaceae.